AAAUGUCAGAGAAGCACAUACACAUCAUGUAUAUAAAUAAUCCGCCAAAAUAAUUUCAGAAACAUGUUUGCUCUUGCCUUUUGGUAUCAAAAGCCUGACCUAAAGCCUGUAACAUCAAUAAACAGGCUCAGAGACUUCAAACCUGACUUUAGGGUAUGGUAUUUUUCCAUGACUUGUGUUUUUAAGUCGUGUUCCCUCACAGUUAUGGCUUCUCCUCUAUGGAAGCAGCAGAACUUCAAACCUACUCCAACUAACAUACUUGAAAUCAGCUCACCUGAAGGCAGUUCAACAGUGUUGGUCUUUAUAUAAUUAUCUGCCUAGAAACCACAGAGUCUGCGUACGCUGUCUAUUUGUUUACUUGUCCCUUGAUCUAAGCAAAGGGAUGCUUACUCAAAUAUACCCAUUACUUUUUUUUUUUCUUCCAGUUUGCAAAUCUCUUCUCUCCUGCAAUGUUUAAACUCAGUCUUCCAAUAAACAAGAUGAGUCCGAUUGCUUUGAAGUACCUUGGCUUUAUCUGAGUGCACAAAUGAAACAUCUAACCGGUAUAGCCACGUACGUCAGCACACCAGACACAAAGUAGUGCGAAAAACCAGGCUGCAACACUUGAAUAUCUUCAUGCUUAUUCUUCCACCCUUAAGGAUGUUUUCUUGGUUAGCCAACUUUAAAUCAAUCUAUUGUAUAUACAGCACUAUUGAAAAUCGGCACUCAAGUGUACAAGAUAAACAUGUGCUCCUACUGGAACAUGAGAUAAUAAAUCUGCAUCCCUGUGAUUACUACCGCUACCGUGAAGCUGCCUUCAAUGCACAGAGCAAUACAAAGCUGGGGAGCCGUGCCAAGGAAGCAAGAGGCCCUGUGCAGAGAAAGGCCAGCACUUCGGAAACACAAACAGAGCUGCGCAAGGGAGAAAUGCAGGGUCACUGAAAACAGGGUCUGCCAGACAUUACAUAUGUAUACCCAGAACAAAGAGGGAAGUUUCUUCACACAAGUAGGAAGGCUUUCCUGCUCAGAAUACAUGUGACCCCACAGCCACAGGGAAAGUAAAAGGCUCUGAAUUCACAUUUACUGCAGAAGUAAAGUACUGUAAGUUUUGAUGUCUCCUUCUCCUUGAUGGAAAGAGUCGAUUCGUACGAAGGAAAGCAUAAGGCUGACUGAAGAAAAGUGAUAAUUACAUUAGAAUAAUAAUAACAACAACAAAACCUGCAGCUAAUGAAGACUGCCUGCUUCACUUAAUUUAAGAAGGGGCUUCACCCUAUGAGGAAGACAGAAAGCUCUGUGGCUCACUCACCCCUCCUAUGCAUGCCAUCAGAAUGCUCACUGUGCCAAACCCCUUCAGCUGAACUGGUUGGACUGGUCAGUGACAGCGACAGAAAGAAGUGCUUGUGCUCCUAUCUCCUGGAUCGUUCUGCAGGCUGCUCUCCGGGCUGAAUAAAGAUAGCUAUAGGAACUCAUUAAUGGAGCAAGGAAAGGAAAGAGAAGCCGGGUGAUUCUCACGGAGGAUCUCACACACACGUAUCAGCUGGCACAGCCUGAAUGACAAAGGGACAUUAUUUCACUUUUUUUUUUUUUUUCUCCCAAUGAGAAGCUGAUUCUUUAACAAAGUUGCUUACAGUGCAUGGCUUUACAAGAAAACAAACAACACUCCUUGCAAAAAAUCUAAGCUAGACCCCAAACAGGUUAAGGCAAACAUGAGAAGCGUCGGCUCCUCCAGCACUUCUACCACUCUCUCUGGAGCGUCAAACUGGCUUUUACUUCACUGGAGGCUUGUGCUACCUGAACUUUCUUUUUUGGACCCGUGAGCACAGAAUGCUACGUCAGGUUGUUGAGAAGAGAGGUUUUAUUUGCCAUCAAGACGAGCUACUGCCGGAUGAAGGCUUAAGGCACGGUUUGCCCCCUGCCCCCAGUGCGAGGAAUCCCUGCGGUGCUGCUCACAAGUGCCUGCUCGUCAAGGAAGCCAAACCCUAUCUGUCCCAGCUUCCUUCAAGCUGUCGCAGCUUUUGCCGUGCUUUAGCAGGAUCUACUGCCCUCCAGAAGCUGGAAGUGAGACAAAGAGGGUUUACAAACCAUCGGUCCAAUUCUGAUUGAAGGUUACUGGCUACAGAAACCCACAAAUAAUCUUCCUCUCCUCAUCUAACACAACCUCACUGCCCAAACAGAUUUCCUCUAUCACUGCUGAGCGCAAUGAACUGGAUUUGCCGUAGUGGGAAGUGUUUCUCCAUUAUUUAAAGAGCCGCUGGGAGAAUCUGUGAGAAAUAAAUGAGAGACUGCAGUGCCUCAGGUUUCAUUAGCCUAUCCCUCGAUCUGACACCCCAACAGGAAAAGAGGUUUGCAGUGAUCCCGGUAACUUGUUUCUUUAUCUUCUUCCUCUUGACCUCUGUGCCAUCAGGUGCCUCUGAAACAUUCAUCACUAUCCGUGGCUGGAAACACCGACGCUGAUUAACAACCAGGAACAUAAAGCUCACUGGGAAGGAACACAGAUAGCAUCAAUGCUGCCAGUUUCUCUACGACUACCUAAUACACCUCCCCAGCAUAUGUAUCCUAGGUCAACAUGCCUGGCAGGCUGCAAACAAACCUGGAAUAAAAAUGAAUGAACAAGCUGUUCCGAACAGUGUUCUCCUAUGAGGGUAGCAGGGCUCACCAUCCCUUUAAACUAACCUACUGGUUACAGCAGCCCCUCCUUCUGAACGCACACUCUAAACAGUAAAGGGAAUAAAACUUCCCUUCUAGGAGAGCUUAAUUUGUACUCUCAUCCUGCUGCUGCCGUCACCACUAUUAGCACCAAGAGUAGCAUCAGCAGGCUACCAGAUACCAGUGGGGCCAUCGUGGGCACACAGAACCAGCUCACCAACACAGCAGCACAGAAAAAGCAAAAGAGUAAUGAAAGUGAUAUUCUAACAGCCAUGGGACACCUGUGUUUUGGCCAGACCCACCCCUGCAAAUACCAGAGCACCUUCCAUGCCAUGCUAUCAUCUGCAAAGCUGGGCUUUGCUCCCAAUGCUUGCCUCUGGUUUACACCAAAGCCCCUCACAUCAGGGAGCGCUUCCAGCAAGGACCUGAGGCCUCUCUAGCUAACAGCACCAAGUCAAAAAGAAGAAUGACUGCAAGGAACAUUGUUGAACUAUAGAGAUGCUUCUUCCUUGCAGAGCACAGGGCAGCACCCUGGCACUGUAAUCAUGAACAGAUGCAUUCACCUGCCUUCCUUGCUUCACUUACUCGCUCCAGUGCGCUACGACUGCCUGGACUUCCCUAACGGCAAAUCAUGAAACCAAGCUGACAGCAAAAAGCUGGGGCAGCAGCUCAAGCGACUGCCAAAGAGAAAUCUGUUUGCUCAGGCAAAAGCUGUUCUCAGUCCAAACAUGGGAGUCAUAAUCUUACAGCCAUUUGCUUGGAAGACAAUGAAGGGAAGGCGUAGCAGGCUGGGAAACUGCAGCUCGCCACAGCGCAAGAAGAGAAUGAUCUUUGUGCCCAGAUUUCCUCGCUCUGCAGGGUAAGUUUUACUGAGCUGACAACCGGUAGCAACACGUAGUGGCCCCAGGCACCAUGCCUGCCUAUCAAAGACUUGGAUUUUAGCCCUGGAGAAAUUAUAACGUCUCUCAGCUCUCUGGAAGCUCUACCGACCAAGAAGGCCAGUGAGUGACGACUGGCCUAACUAAUGAUUAGUUUAAUACAUGGAUUGCAUACUGCACGUGAUAAACGUAGGGGUGCCUGGGGUGCAGGAAGAACAAAGGGGACAUAAGCAGGAGGACCCCUUGAAUGUGACUGGCACAGCAUGUCUACUGGUUACAAAAGGCAACUAACUGAGGCUGUUACAACUGCACAGUGCUGCUGCGGCUGGGGCUGACACACCAAUGGAAAGGAUGGAGCCAGCAGAUCAGCAACGGAGGUGAGGGAACGGAAAGCUCGGCGAUUUGAGUUGAAAAAGACAUAAGGACAGGUGAGUGCAUGGACAUGGAUAAAGAGGCACCUGAUCUCAAGGUGGUCCCUGAGCGCUCAUGUCUGAGGGCACUGCCACUCUGCAUUCUUCUAUGGGGCUGAGGCCACCCGAGCACCUCUCCGCUGAGUGGCAUGGGGGCCCAGUCCCAGCCCACAUGUGCUCCUUGUGCUGCACUCAGAAGGUCUUCUGCAACACCCAUUGUAAUCCAGCUUUCAUCUGUUAAAAUAAGCUGCCAAACCUAAGGCUGGAGUUAUGGUCAGAGGCUUUUCUUUGUUGCAGCACUGCAAGAAACCCAAACCUUUCCAACUUCCUCUCCCAAAUGUCAACCUUGGGCCGCUCUGGUCCGUCCAUCGGAAGCAUGUGAUGUGAAAUAGAAGCCAGGAAAUAAGACUUUCUGAAUAAACAUUUAUUUGGUGAGAAAUACUUCUGAUUUUUGGCAGACAAAUGUCAGAAACCUGAAGCCCUAUGUAUAGCACGCCUACAGAAUGCAAUUUCUAUUUAAAGGGAAGCUGCAGCUGUCUGUAGCUCUUAAUGAAGAAUAAUGCCUGGGAAUAAAUUACUGCUGUUCGGAAAGACAUUUCUCCAAUGACAGUGAUACUCCCUCUUCUCCCUCCCCCUGUGAAUAUGGAGCAGCAGGCACUGGGCAGUUGUUGGGAAGAAUGGACACAUACAACUCCCUCUCUUUCGUCAACAGCUUGGUGAUUUCCAUGGAAAACUAUGAGGUGCUUUAGCACACAGCUACAAAAGCAAAUGCGUUCAGAGAGAGACACGAAGGCAGUAUAUGACACAACUUCACUUCUGCAAGGUGCAUGCUGCUCAUCACGGUCCCCAUGCAGCAGUUUCAACCGUGCUGCGGACUCAGCAUUGUGACAGCACUCUCAACACAGCACUGCCAACCCCAAUGGCUCUGGGUUUCCCCGCAGAGGGGCUGCCACGCCGGCAGCCUGGGCAGGAGGAGCAGGUGAUGCUCGAGGGAAAGGGUGCGCCCGGGCUGCCGUGCCCUCAGCAGUGGCUCAGGAAGCAGAGCUGACAUCAGCCCCAGGAGCUGCUCCCUCCCGGCCCAGCCAGCGUGCCAGGAAAAACAGCAGUGAGGGCUGCCAGGGGAGCAGUGUGAGUGAAAGAGGAAAGCAAGGAGCUGGGAAGGCUAAGAACGGGGCUGGGGCUGAACGCAGCCCCGGAGAUGCCCUCCCACAGGCAGCUCCCCACCGAAGUCAUGCACUGGGAGGCUGCAGGAGAAAGGCACGGGGCUGUUUACUACCCUGUCAGCUGCAGUUGGCCCACAAUAACAGCUCGCGAUAUGAGAUCGGCUGAAGACACAAGUGUUGGUUAUUGACCCAUACUGGGUUUAGAGAUUAAUUUUCCGUUUCCCACUCUCUGUGCCAGAGGUUUCAGCACAAGUGCAAAAAAACAAAAAAACAAAACAAAACCAACCAAAAAACCACCACAUGUGAAGAAAAGCCCAGGAGUGAGGAACGUGCAGAGUUUAUUCAUUGCUCCUGUCGGAACUGUGCUUGUGUGGCUAGCAGUCCAAAAAAGAUGUGGUGUAAGUUUUUAGGACGGAAAAAAAACUCAGAGUACCUGCACUUCACCAGAGAACUACAAAACCUUAUGCUGGAACUCACUGCAAUAGCAAAGCAGUCUCACCUUCCCCUGCCUUGCUCCCUAGCUAGGAGAAAUAGCAGUCCUCCUUAAGAAACCCUCCUGACAUCUCUCCUUCCCCCCCGCAGAAGCAGAAUAUGGACUUGAUUUGUAUAAGCUCUGCUAUUCCAGAACUUCACUUCAUCCAGAUGAGGAAGGCAGGAGAGAGGAAGUGAGAAUGUGGUGCUGUUUAGUAAACAGGCUGUUUCUAGGUGGAUCCGGGACGCUGGUCCCAGCUUACUGCCCACCCCCCCCGCAGUGAAGUCUGCUUCGGUGGCAGGAGGAGGAGGCGGAAGGGAUGAGAGCAGCGGGGAGGGUCUGUGCUUUCCCUGCGUCUUAACGUGACGACACCCUGCAAACACUCGGGCUUUUAAGGAAAAUCACUGUGCCCAGGCAUUUCCUUUCAGCACAAAGGGCAGCAGUGCCACCCCUCCUGGCUCAAGGUACUUCUGUCUGCUCGAGAGGCUAAUGCUGGAAGGAGAGGAGCCCGGCUGAUGCCUCCUUGCCACCAUGCUGUCCUCUGGGCAAAGCAAGGUGACAAAAUGCACUCACAGGGAACUCCUGAAGAGUUCUCCAUUGCCCAGAGCGACCCCCUCCAAACAUCCAUUCUGAAUGCCAGGCUGAGAGCCAUUCUCAAGAGCACUCUAUACUAUCUGUACCUGGGGAGAAGCGUGCUACUUCUUCUUCACAAGCCAGGGCCUCAUGAGUGUAAUUCAGGGUUUCGGCACCUCAGCAGCAGGCCACAGCACUACACUUACAGUGGGCUUAUUUUAAACCGCUGCGGACACGGCAGAAUGCAAUAAUCACACCACUAGCAUCUCGCAUAGACACUCCAUCCUCUGCAGUGGUUGACGGUUCCCACCCUCCUCAUGAAGCUUAUCUGGCUGAUCUCAGACACCCAGACGGUCUGUAUAGCACCCAGGGAAUGCUCUCCUCACACGCGGUGCUGCUGCUGCUGCAAUCGGCAGAGAUGAUUGAGACAUCCUGAGGAAACACCUCCCGCUAUCCCAACAGCUUCACAUGCUAGAGCAGUUUAUUAUCAUCAUUAUUAUUCUUUAAGGCUGCUCCCCUCUGCUCUAGGACGUCAGUCUGCAAAGUAAGCCCUUGUGGUUUCAAAGAAGUCUUUCAAAGUGUGGGAAUAAGCUGAUAUGGCUACAUCUGCUUGGAUACGCAGACAGUGAGAAGCUCCAGGUCUCAGAGGUCCCUUAUUCAUCUUAAUGAGUUAUUAACUCAGCUACUAGUUACCAACAAUUCCAAACGUUUGCCUUGUUAACUAUUUCACUGUUGAUCAAGGCACGCAGGAAAGGGGAAAGAUGACAAAGAUUUCUCUGUGUCUCCUGUAACGUUUGUUUUGCAAGUAGCCCUUUGGAAAGCAGCACCACUUAGGUCCUGGGUCAGUCUGCUCCCAAAGCCCGCAACCCAAAGACAUAAGCCAGCCAAAGGAGGGCAUCUGACUUCCAGGGAGCUAGAAGGGAUGCACAGGAGUCAGAAAAAAAGGGUUGUAUUUACUAAAUUUAAGGAAGGCACAACAACUAGUUUACUCAAACUGUUAAACUCUGCAGCUGUGUUAUCAUCACUGGCAUCCUGAAGGACUACUCAAUAAUGGUUCAAACAUCAACUCAACUAACUUUGAAAUUUUCAAGGUUUCUUAAGAUCAAAACAAGGAUUACUCUCAGCCUUGGUAGGCAGAGAAUUCUUGUUUCCUCUGCUUUUCAGGAUGUUUACAUCUGAUAUGCACAUUGCCCACUUCAACCCAGAAACACAGUGAGCUUCACAAGAAAAACAAUGAGCACAUAAAUAUUUAUGCCUUCUCUUUAGCCUUCCCUCAUGGGAAGGGUCUCUUUUAGUAAAGGCUGAAGGACCAGAGUCUUAAUUAUGUGACUGUUUUCUCUCUGAAGGUAUGCUACUCCAAUUCCCAUGAACACGAAUUUCCAAGAGGAACAUUUGUAUAGAAGUGUACAGUACUCAAUUUAAUACAGCAAACUGAUCAAAGGAACAGAAAUUUGGAAUACCGGAUGCAAAUAACCUCUAAUUUGGAAGCAGUCAAAUGACUUCAAUCACUGUAUGACCAUGUAUAAAAUUAAUGAAUCUGAACAGUAUGUUGAACUGUUAUCCGUAAUAUUUUUCAUUCUUGCUAGGCCACGCUAUCACAGGGCCUUCAAAAGCAGGCUUACACAUUUAGCUAAAAAAACAAUAAUGAUGCAUUAAAUAAUUGUAACGGUCCAAGGGAAAGAAACCCAACAUCAUUCCUCAGUUAUCACCAUUCUGCCCUUGAAGUCAUUAAAAAAAAAAAAAAAAAAACGAAGUAGAAGAAGAGAG
This is a long non-coding RNA of Gallus gallus (chicken), 7888 nucleotides long. RefSeq lists it as uncharacterized. The record is from RefSeq and is a predicted model, not a curated record. The transcript is spliced from 2 exons. NCBI's taxonomy places the organism in Eukaryota, Metazoa, Chordata, Aves, Galliformes, Phasianidae.